This is a long non-coding RNA of Mustela erminea (ermine), 1971 nucleotides long. RefSeq lists it as uncharacterized. The record is from RefSeq and is a predicted model, not a curated record. The transcript has 2 exons. Lineage: Eukaryota; Metazoa; Chordata; Mammalia; Carnivora; Mustelidae.
CCAGUUCAAAUUUUUAUGCAGUUUAUUUCUUUCACUUUUAAAUUGAAAUUUAAUUUAAUUGUGUCUCAUUUAUGAUAAAUGUACAUUUAUUCUUAUGUGAAAAGAAAAUGCAUCGACUUUAGUGAGACAUUUGGAAGUUACUACAGACUUUCAGAUUAGCAUAGGUGUAUGUGUUUAAGAAGUGGUGGGAGUUUUAACAAUUAUGUCUUCAGCAGCAGUAUCAAACAGUUUUAGGUCUUUCACUAUUUGUCUAAAAUUGUUUUGCAGAUAAGUUCAAUCCAUGAAAUUACCAUAUAGACCAGUCUUCUAAAAUAUAAUCUUUGGACCAGCAGAAUAUAGAUAAAAACGGAUUUCUUUUGCAAGCGUAUUUGAAAACUCACUCUGUUGGGCAUUGGGAACACAGAAACGAAAAGACCUGGUCUCAUCCAGGAAGCAUGAGUUUAGUUGGAAGACACGUGUGAAAACAAUUGCAGGACUACAACAGUAGUAGAUGAGGGGACCAGCAGGAGUGGGAGCAGAGAAGCCCCUGACACUGAGGGAAGCAGGGAGCAGGAAGCUGACUUCGGUCUGACAUUGGAAGAAUGAGUAGGACUUGACCAGGAAAACAAGCACAGAGAAGGCAUCUGGUCGACCCGUGCAUAGGCCAGGGAGUGGAAAUGCGCUGUCUGCUGGAAAACUAAUGGGCACUAAGGCCAGCUGGCAAGCAAGCUUGUAAAUAGGAAUUAGAUUUUGAAGGGGCUCGUGUACUGUGCAGAGGAGUUUAGAUCUUCUCCUAGCAGCACUGAGAGCAUUGGAGCAUUCUAAGCAAGAGAAUGGUAUUAUCACUUAGCCUGUUAGAGAAAUAACUUUCAUGGAAGUUUUUGCAGGCUAUAAUAUAGAGGUCAAUAUUAGAAACUAGGCACAGUAAGGAAGCUGUAAUUAUCUUGGUAAGAAGUGAUGAGUUUCUGAAUGAAGGUAGUAGAAAUGGGAGUGGAGAAGAAAAUACUACUUAAAAAUUGUUUUUUCUGUUUAUCAAUAUAUGCUUAUUAAAAAAUUCAAAUAGUACAUAAAUAUACAAAGAAAAAAAGAAAAAACACCCACUUCAUCUAACCAUCCAGAGAUACUCACCAUUGGCAUUUUGGUAAACCUCCUUACAGACUUGUAUGUGAAAUGCAUGUGUGUGUGUAUAUAUAUAUGGUUAUAUACAGAAAUAGUUUUUCAUAAAUAGGAUUAUAUCAUACCAACUAGACUGUAGCUGUUUCUAAUCAACGUAUUUAAAGAGCCUUCCAAUCAGUUUUGCUAAAUACACAUUUUUAUCAGGGUUCUAAUAGAAGACAGAUGGCACCCUUGAAAUAGGACCGUUGAAACUUGUUUUAUUUAUAGAGAAACUACUUAGGAAGUUGUGGUGUAGGAGAACCGUAAGGGAUGGUACAGCAUCUCGGGGGUUCUUAGCAGCCCAGCUGUUAAUCACUCCCAGGCCAAAUGGGGUGACGGCCUGGAGUAUUCCAGAACUUGGAGAUGAUGAGUAGAAUCAGCCUCUUAAGAGCAGGUUGACUUUUGCACAAAUGUCACAGGAAAAUAGGUGUCCUGGCUUCAGUUUCCUUUCUGUCCUUGAUCUGCUGAUGAGGCUUCCCAUCGUCUGAACCCAAGUGGAGGUGAACAUAAUGGACACACACUGGCCCCUGGGCGUGGAUGAGGAGAAGAGGAAGGAGUGUGAACCUGCAGGGUUAGACAGAAGAUACCUGACACAGAGAUCUCUUUGUUUAUUGUUGCACGGUUCUGUGGAACACUCUGCAGUCAGCACUUUACUGGCAGCCAGUUAGUCUGUCUUCACUUUUUGGCUGCAAAAUUCCAAAGUGUUGAGCGCAGUUCAGGGUAGCUUCCCUGUUCUGUUAACUGAACUGCGGGACAUUGCAACGGGCUAAGAACUAUGAUUGGACAGAAAUUAUCAGUCUAUUCAUUUAUCUCCCAGCCUACAAAAUGGUUUUUUUU